RNAcentral lists this ribosomal RNA (341 nucleotides) under Cimex pilosellus. Its description in RNAcentral is "partial large subunit ribosomal RNA". The stretch from base 1 to 184 matches the Rfam family "Archaeal large subunit ribosomal RNA", at positions 1923 to 2143 of the family's 2987-position model. The record is from RNAcentral. Lineage: Eukaryota; Metazoa; Arthropoda; Insecta; Hemiptera; Cimicidae.
GUCUUUUUGUUUUUAUUUAAAGUCAGACCUGCCCAAUGAAUUUUAAAUGGCCGCAGUACUUUAACUGUGCAAAGGUAGCGUAAUAAUUUGUUUUUUAAUUGGAAACUAGUAUGAAUGGUCAAACGAGGGGUUAACUUUCUUUAUCUUAUUUUAAAUAAAUUUAUUUUUCUGUGAAAAAGCAGAAAUGUUUUUAGAAGACGAUAAGACCCUUUAAAACUUUAUUUUAUAUAGAAGCAUAAAUAUACAGAUUUAUUNUUUUAUGUUUUUAUUAUAUUAAAUUUUAUUGGGGCGAUAGGUAAAUUUAUAUAACUUUAUUUUAUUUUUUUCCAUUAAUUAAUGUU